Molecule: long non-coding RNA, 212 nt
Organism: Drosophila guanche
Lineage: Eukaryota; Metazoa; Arthropoda; Insecta; Diptera; Drosophilidae
Exons: 3
Source: RefSeq, a predicted model, not a curated record
CAGACACGCUGCGUGUCAAAGUACAGUGGACCUUCGAGUUUUAAUUGCCAAAUCAAAAACGGGCCAGGUCCUCGUCCCUCAACAGGAGCACAAAAUGGUGGAUUAUUGUCAUAGCGUGAGUGGAUACCAUUAGAGCAAACGAGAUCGCACACCUUGGUAUUAACAGUUGCACGUGUUUUCUGUGGAAUAUUACUUUUGCACACCACACCACC